Molecule: ribosomal RNA, 562 nt
Filed under: Bacillus cereus
Lineage: Bacteria; Bacillati; Bacillota; Bacilli; Caryophanales; Bacillaceae
Also listed under: 1 other name
Description: bacterial SSU rRNA
Rfam family: Bacterial small subunit ribosomal RNA
Source: RNAcentral
GUGAGUAACACGUGGGUAACCUGCCCAUAAGACUGGGAUAACUCCGGGAAACCGGGGCUAAUACCGGAUAACAUUUUGAACCGCAGGUUCGAAAUUGAAAGGCGGCUUCGGCUGUCACUUAUGGAUGGACCCGCGUCGCAUUAGCUAGUUGGUGAGGUAACGGCUCACCAAGGCAACGAUGCGUAGCCGACCUGAGAGGGUGAUCGGCCACACUGGGACUGAGACACGGCCCAGACUCCUACGGGAGGCAGCAGUAGGGAAUCUUCCGCAAUGGACGAAAGUCUGACGGAGCAACGCCGCGUGAGUGAUGAAGGCUUUCGGGUCGUAAAACUCUGUUGUUAGGGAAGAACAAGUGCUAGUUGAAUAAGCUGGCACCUUGACGGUACCUAACCAGAAAGCCACGGCUAACUACGUGCCAGCAGCCGCGGUAAUACGUAGGUGGCAAGCGUUAUCCGGAAUUAUUGGGCGUAAAGCGCGCGCAGGUGGUUUCUUAAGUCUGAUGUGAAAGCCCACGGCUCAACCGUGGAGGGUCAUUGGAAACUGGGAGACUUGAGUGCAGAAG